Molecule: ribosomal RNA, 253 nt
Filed under: uncultured bacterium
Lineage: Bacteria
Description: partial 16S ribosomal RNA
Rfam family: Bacterial small subunit ribosomal RNA
Source: RNAcentral
UACAGAGGUGGCAAGCGUUGUUCGGAAUUACUGGGCGUAAAGGGCGCGUAGGCGGUCCCGUCAGUCCCUUGUGAAAUCCCCCGGCUCAACUGGGGAACUGCAAGGGAUACAGCGGGGCUUGAGUUCGGGAGAGGGAAGCGGAAUUCCGGGUGUAGCGGUGAAAUGCGCAGAUAUCAGGAGGAACACCGGUGGCGAAGGCGGGUCUCUGGGCCGAUAUUGACGCUGAGGAGCGAAAGCGUGGGGAGCGAACAGG